GACGAACGCUGGCGGCGUGCCUAAUACAUGCAAGUAGAACGCUGAAGGAGGAGCUUGCUUCUCUGGAUGAGUUGCGAACGGGUGAGUAACGCGUAGGUAACCUGCCUGGUAGCGGGGGAUAACUAUUGGAAACGAUAGCUAAUACCGCAUAAUAUUGACUAUUGCAUGAUAGUCAGUUGAAAGGUGCAACUGCACCACUACCAGAUGGACCUGCGUUGUAUUAGCUAGUUGGUGGGGUAACGGCUCACCAAGGCGACGAUACAUAGCCGACCUGAGAGGGGGAUCGGCCACACUGGGACUGAGACACGGCCCAGACUCCUACGGGAGGCAGCAGUAGGGAAUCUUCGGCAAUGGACGGAAGUCUGACCGAGCAACGCCGCGUGAGUGAAGAAGGGUUUCGGAUCGUAAAGCUCUGUUGUAAGAGAAGAACGAGUGUGAGAGUGGAAAGCUCACACUGUGACGGUAUCUUACCAGAAAGGGACGGCUAACUACGUG
Molecule: ribosomal RNA, 495 nt
Filed under: uncultured bacterium
Lineage: Bacteria
Description: partial 16S ribosomal RNA
Rfam family: Bacterial small subunit ribosomal RNA
Source: RNAcentral